GAUGAACGCUGGCGGCGUGCCUAAUACAUGCAAGUCGAGCGAACAGACGAGGAGCUUGCUCCUCUGACGUUAGCGGCGGACGGGUGAGUAACACGUGGAUAACCUACCUAUAAGACUGGGAUAACUUCGGGAAACCGGAGCUAAUACCGGAUAAUAUAUUGAACCGCAUGGUUCAAUAGUGAAAGACGGUUUUGCUGUCACUUAUAGAUGGAUCCGCGCCGCAUUAGCUAGUUGGUAAGGUAACAGCUUACCAAGGCAACGAUGCGUAGCCGACCUGAGAGGGUGAUCGGCCACACUGGAACUGAGACACGGUCCAGACUCCUACGGGAGGCAGCAGUAGGGAAUCUUCCGCAAUGGGCGAAAGCCUGACGGAGCAACGCCGCGUGAGUGAUGAAGGUCUUCGGAUCGUAAAACUCUGUCAUUAGGGAAGAACAAAUGUGUAAGUAACUAUGCACGUCUUGACGGUACCUAAUCAGAAAGCCACGGCUAACUACGUG
RNAcentral lists this ribosomal RNA (497 nucleotides) under uncultured bacterium. Its description in RNAcentral is "partial 16S ribosomal RNA". It matches the Rfam family "Bacterial small subunit ribosomal RNA", at positions 28 to 507 of the family's 1533-position model. The record is from RNAcentral.